This 253-nucleotide ribosomal RNA is filed under the name uncultured bacterium. RNAcentral's name for it is "partial 16S ribosomal RNA". It matches the Rfam family "Bacterial small subunit ribosomal RNA", at positions 524 to 776 of the family's 1533-position model. The record is from RNAcentral.
UACGUAGGUGGCAAGCGUUGUCCGGAAUUAUUGGGCGUAAAGCGCGCGCAGGCGGUCCUUUAAGUCUGAUGUGAAAGCCCACGGCUCAACCGUGGAGGGUCAUUGGAAACUGGGGGACUUGAGUGCAGGAAAGAAGAGUGGAAUUCCACGUGUAGCGGUGAAAUGCGUAGAGAUGUGGAGGAACACCAGUGGCGAAGGCGACUCUUUGGCCUGUAACUGACGCUGAGGCGCGAAAGCGUGGGGAGCAAACCGG